This is a non-coding RNA of Triticum urartu, 128 nucleotides long. Lineage: Eukaryota; Viridiplantae; Streptophyta; Magnoliopsida; Poales; Poaceae. The record is from Rfam.
CAGUUACUCCCUCCGUUCCGAAUUACUUGUCUUGGAUUUGUCUAGAUACGGGUGUAUCUAGACUAGUCUAGAUACACCCGUAUCUAGACAAAUCCAAGACAAGUAAUUCGGAACGGAGGGAGUACUUG